GCCAGUAUCUAUAAUAAAGAGGUACAUACUGACUGGAAUAGUUAUUCAUUUUAUCAUAUACUAAAGGUCAUAUAAGAGACUAUACUAGAUAUCAGCUACUGAAUGAUGAAUACCUUCCAGUGUUUGGUCCUUGUUGCUGCUAUUGGAUUCAUCAUUACUACUACUACUACAGUGUCUGCUGCAGAAAAAGACACUUGCUACAGUGAUACAGAAUGCAAGGAUAAUGUAACUAAAUCUUUUGACUGCUGCAGUAUCCCUGGAAUCAAAUCUUAUGAGGUGCUUUUAUCUUUAGGUGCUUUCCACUGCUACUUGUGCAAACAGUAGUAACUGAGAGAGAGAAGUUCUGCAGAAGAAAAAACUCUGUGCUUACAAUGAAAUAAAUAUCUACUGAUAAUAAAUAAAAUAAUAAUUAUAUAAAAUAAUAUAGAACUGAUAAUUAAGUUAAAUGAAAACAAAUUUUGUUAGGGUUUGAUGAAUUCAGCCACAUAGCUAUAGACCAUAA
Long non-coding RNA from Amphimedon queenslandica, 502 nucleotides. RefSeq lists it as uncharacterized. The record is from RefSeq and is a predicted model, not a curated record. NCBI's taxonomy places the organism in Eukaryota, Metazoa, Porifera, Demospongiae, Haplosclerida, Niphatidae. The transcript is spliced from 2 exons.